RNAcentral lists this long non-coding RNA (1354 nucleotides) under Ricinus communis (castor bean). RNAcentral's name for it is "long non-coding RNA (RCOM_LNC002898)". The record is from RNAcentral. Lineage: Eukaryota; Viridiplantae; Streptophyta; Magnoliopsida; Malpighiales; Euphorbiaceae.
UUAAACAAAUCUCAUCUCAAAUUAAUAUUAUUAAAACCACAAAUCAUCUUAAUAGUUACACUUUACAAAAAUUACUUCGGUCUACCAGAAAAACUAGACGAGACCCGAAGCUCAGAAAAUUUACAACUGAUACAUCUGCUAAUUACUACUGCGGAGAAUCUAAGAUUUACCAAUUUACAUACCAAAUCAGAUACGUCACCCGAUGAUGAAGGAGUCGGGUUACUGAAUAAGAGUCGCGAGAGAACUAACAGUCACGAAUCUGAAAAACAAUAAAUGGAGACUGUCAGUCUCGAGAGUGAGUUAAAAUCAAAUAAUCUAGGGACUAUUGCUUCUUCUCAAAAAACAUAGAUUAUUCAAAUCAGUAUAUCAAACCAUACUGUAAUCGUACCCUACUAUUUCCUUCACAUAAAAUAUUAAUCAUUCGAAUCAAAAUAUCAACCAUGCACGUAAAUACAAAUCACAUUAUAAUCAAAUACCAUAAUAAAUAAAUAAAUAAAAAUAUAUAUUUACUUUUACGGAACGAGUGGCUCGGUAGAACCCUAAACCCCAAAUUCUAGUAGCCUUUCGGCUCUCUUAAUCCAACAGGUCUGGCACCCAGAGAGCAAGCUUGAUCAGGGUCCUUACCUCCAGCCUGAACACUUGAAUUCCAAAUAAGCCGGCGCCCAGAGAGCAAGCUCGAUCAGGGACCUUAACUCCGGCAAUCAACUGAACUCAGCCCAGAGAGCAAUGCUCGAUCAGGGCAAACAAAUCCAUAAUAACCUUAUGUCCAUGUUCAUUACCGGUGCGCACGCGGUCCUGAUGUAACCCAUCAGGCGGCAUGUUCUACAAGCCACGUUUCCCAAGACAUAAUCAUCCAUUUAAUAAAUAUCAUUGUAUAAUGAAGUCAUUCAACCAUAUCAAAUUAAUGAUUAACAAUUAAGAGUAAAACAUCAGGCAGCUCAGGUGGAAAACUGAUGAUAUUUGGAAUUAUUAUAACAUUACUAUAAUAAUACUUAUAUUACCUUUAAUAAUUAGUAAUUCAGUGAAAUUAUUUACGUUGCGAAACUAAUAACCAUAUUAAGCAUGAACUUUCAAAAUAGCAUAUUAAAAUCAAACUUAGCAAUAGCGCAAUGAUUAGAUGACUUUAACUCACAGGAUUGGCGACCUCCUAGCUCUGCUCCGGUGCCUCGGUAGGAGCGAGCCGAACGAACUGACAAUCUAGUCACGGAAAACAAUUUAUCAAUACGCUGAGACAAUCCAUCAUUAAUCCUAGGUCUAGACUCCUAGGACUGACUGUCUAAGAAUCUAGACUCGGGAACUACCGAAAAUUCGGCAGAACCUCCCCUACAACACGAACAUUACCCCCCGUAAAAAC